This 384-nucleotide ribosomal RNA is filed under the name uncultured prokaryote. RNAcentral describes it as "bacterial SSU rRNA". It matches the Rfam family "Archaeal small subunit ribosomal RNA", at positions 341 to 725 of the family's 1478-position model. The record is from RNAcentral.
GCGAAAACUUUACAAUGCUGGCAACAGCGAUAAGGUAACCUCGACUGCCAGGUUACAAAUCUGGCUGUCGAGCUGCCUAAAAAGCAUUUCAUAGCAAGGGCCGGGCAAGACCGGUGCCAGCCGCCGCGGUAACACCGGCCGCUCGAGUGGUAACCGUUAUUAUUGGGUCUACAGGGUCUGUAGCCGGCCGGAUAAGUCUCUUGAGAAAUCUGGCAGCUUAACUGUCAGGCUUUCAGGAGAUACUGUCUGGCUCGAGGCCGGGAGAGGUGAGAGGUACUUCAGGGGUAGGGGUGAAAUCUUGUAGUCCUUGAAGGACCACCAGUGGCGAGGGCGGCUCACCAGAACGGACCUGAGGGCAAGGGACCAAAGCUAGGUGCACGAACC